RNAcentral lists this ribosomal RNA (328 nucleotides) under uncultured eukaryote. Its description in RNAcentral is "partial 18S ribosomal RNA". It matches the Rfam family "Eukaryotic small subunit ribosomal RNA", at positions 1470 to 1796 of the family's 1831-position model. The record is from RNAcentral.
CCCUUAGAUGUCCUGGGCCGCACGCGCGUUACACUGAUGCAUUCAACGAGCUUAUAACCUUGGCCGAGAGGCCUGGGCAAUCUUGUUAACGUGCAUCGUGAUAGGGAUAGAUUAUUGAAAUUAUUAAUCUUGAACGAGGAAUUCCUAGUAAACGCAGAUCAUCAAUCUGCAUGGAUUACGUCCCUGCCCUUUGUACACACCGCCCGUCGCACCUACCGAUUGGAUGGUCCGGUGAAGCCUCGGGAUUGUGGUUCUUGCCGCUUUAUUGUGGCGUGACCGCGAGAACUUGUCUAAACCUUAUCAUCUAGAGGAAGGUGUAGUCGUAACA